Molecule: long non-coding RNA, 591 nt
Organism: Zea mays
Lineage: Eukaryota; Viridiplantae; Streptophyta; Magnoliopsida; Poales; Poaceae
Exons: 3
Source: RefSeq, a predicted model, not a curated record
UGGGUAAAAUUCUUGUGACCAUUACUUUACAGAAUUGAUUGUGUUUGUUUUCAUAUACAUAGAAACUCACCUAUUGUUUUUAAAUUAUGUUUAGGGUUUCUUGUGGUCUAUGGAUGGUGAACUAUAUGGAAUAUUGGACAGGGUCUUCUCUGUCUAAUAACCUAACUCAGAAUGAUAUAACAAAGUUUAGAUUUAAGCUACCUGCAAUAUUGUGGAACUCAAGAUUAAACACAAAGAAAGGACAUCAAGAGACUGACCAUCAUGCAGAUGAAGAUGGAGGAAGUUCAUGUGAUGUUGAGAUAAUUGAGACUCCUUGUGAGUUACCUAUAUCGUUAAAUGCAUCAUCCCAGGUUCAACCAUUUAUAUCGUCAUGUGCUCUGCCCGCUACAUUAACAUCAACAAACACACAAGAACUGAUGAGUGCAUUAUGCACAUACAUCAUGGAGAUAGACGACGCCGAAUAUUUGGAGAAACAUUGGAUUCAGAGCACCAAGCCUUAUCCAAUUUCUUUAAGCCUUCAACAGCUUAAAAAUAUAUUGGAUGUAAAUAAACCGAUGGAUAAGGAUUGCUUCAACAUAGUUGUUCGGAUGA